Molecule: long non-coding RNA, 340 nt
Filed under: Nicotiana benthamiana
Lineage: Eukaryota; Viridiplantae; Streptophyta; Magnoliopsida; Solanales; Solanaceae
Description: long non-coding RNA (NBEN_LNC029683)
Source: RNAcentral
AGAUAAGACAACUAAAGCAGGAACAAUAGCUGGAAACAUAUGUUGCAAUGCGAUUACUGUGCACUUCGCAAUUAUCUCUGGUGCUACUUUAGAAAAUUCAUAUACAAAAGUAAACAUGUUAGGCUUCAACUAGGUAGACUCAAAGAAGAUAUGGUAGUCAUUGAGAGCCUUGUAGCAAGUAGCAGGAACAGGAUGUCCAGGUAGACUCAAAGAAGAUAUGGUAGUCGUUGACAGCCUUGUAGCAAGUAGCAGGAACAGGAUGUUAUCUGAUCCAUCGACAAGGAUCUCAGGUUUAACAAUGGGAAAAACACAUGCAACCUUAACCACCACCUCCACAUCG